Non-coding RNA from Paramuricea clavata, 157 nucleotides. The record is from the annotation of a GenBank genome assembly. Lineage: Eukaryota; Metazoa; Cnidaria; Anthozoa; Malacalcyonacea; Plexauridae.
GACGUCGACAUUCGACGUCAUAAACACGAGCAACUGCGGUGUUUAUGACGUCGAUAUUCGACGUCAUAAACACGAGCAACUUUGGUGUUUAUGACGUCGAUAUUCGACGUCAUAAACACGAGCAACUUUGGUGUUUAUGACGUCGAUAUUCGACGUC